This 433-nucleotide ribosomal RNA is filed under the name uncultured bacterium. Its description in RNAcentral is "partial 16S ribosomal RNA". It matches the Rfam family "Bacterial small subunit ribosomal RNA", at positions 29 to 507 of the family's 1533-position model. The record is from RNAcentral.
AACGAACGCUGGCGGCAUGCCUAACACAUGCAAGUCGAACGAUCCCUUCGGGGAUAGUGGCGCACGGGUGCGUAACGCGUGGGAACCUGCCCUUAGGUUCGGAAUAACUCAGAGAAAUUUGAGCUAAUACCGGAUAAUGUCUUCGGACCAAAGAUUUAUCGCCUUUGGAUGGGCCCGCGUUGGAUUAGCUAGUUGGUGGGGUAAAGGCCUACCAAGGCGACGAUCCAUAGCUGGUCUGAGAGGAUGAUCAGCCACACUGGGACUGAGACACGGCCCAGACUCCUACGGGAGGCAGCAGUGGGGAAUAUUGGACAAUGGGCGAAAGCCUGAUCCAGCAAUGUCGCGUGAGUGAUGAAGGCCUUAGGGUUGUAAAGCUCUUUUACCCGGGAUGAUAAUGACAGUACCGGGAGAAUAAGCCCCGGCUAACUCCGUG